RNAcentral lists this ribosomal RNA (253 nucleotides) under uncultured bacterium. Its description in RNAcentral is "partial 16S ribosomal RNA". It matches the Rfam family "Bacterial small subunit ribosomal RNA", at positions 524 to 776 of the family's 1533-position model. The record is from RNAcentral.
UACGUAGGGGGCUAGCGUUGUCCGGAAUCAUUGGGCGUAAAGAGCUCGUAGGCGGUCUGUCGCGUCGGAUGUGAAACCUCGGGGCUCAACCCCGAGCCUGCAUUCGAUACGGGCAGACUAGAGUUCGGUAGGGGAGACUGGAAUUCCUGGUGUAGCGGUGAAAUGCGCAGAUAUCAGGAGGAACACCGGUGGCGAAGGCGGGUCUCUGGGCCGAUACUGACGCUGAGGAGCGAAAGCGUGGGGAGCGAACAGG